UGCUACAGGCUUAACACAUGCAAGUCGAGGGGCAGCAUGGUCUUAGCUUGCUAAGGCCGAUGGCGACCGGCGCACGGGUGAGUAACACGUAUCCAACCUGCCGUCUACUCUUGGACAGCCUUCUGAAAGGAAGAUUAAUACAAGAUGGCAUCAUGAGUCCGCAUGUUCACAUGAUUAAAGGUAUUCCGGUAGACGAUGGGGAUGCGUUCCAUUAGAUAGUAGGCGGGGUAACGGCCCACCUAGUCUUCGAUGGAUAGGGGUUCUGAGAGGAAGGUCCCCCACAUUGGAACUGAGACGCGGUCCAAACUCCUACGGGAGGCAGCAGUGAGGAAUAUUGGUCAAUGGGCGAGAGCCUGAACCAGCCAAGUAGCGUGAAGGAUGACUGCCCUAUGGGUUGUAAACUUCUUUUAUAAAGGAAUAAAGUCGGGUAUGGAUACCCGUUUGCAUGUACUUUAUGAAUAAGGAUCGGCUAACUCCGUGCCAGCAGCCGCGGUAAUACGGAGGAUCCGAGCGUUAUCCGGAUUUAUUGGGUUUAAAGGGAGCGUAGAUGGAUGUUUAAGUCAGUUGUGAAAGUUUGCGGCUCAACCGUAAAAUUGCAGUUGAUACUGGAUAUCUUGAGUGCAGUUGAGGCAGGCGGAAUUCGUGGUGUAGCGGUGAAAUGCUUAGAUAUCACGAAGAACUCCGAUUGCGAAGGCAGCCUGCUAAGCUGCAACUGACAUUGAGGCUCGAAAGUGUGGGUAUCAAACAGGAUUAGAUACCCUGGUAGUCCACACGGUAAACGAUGAAUACUCGCUGUUUGCGAUAUACGGCAAGCGGCCAAGCGAAAGCGUUAAGUAUUCCACCUGGGGAGUACGCCGGCAACGGUGAAACUCAAAGGAAUUGACGGGGGCCCGCACAAGCGGAGGAACAUGUGGUUUAAUUCGAUGAUACGCGAGGAACCUUACCCGGGCUUAAAUUGCAGAUGAAUUACGGUGAAAGCCGUAAGCCGCAAGGCAUCUGUGAAGGUGCUGCAUGGUUGUCGUCAGCUCGUGCCGUGAGGUGUCAGCUUAAGUGCCAUAACGAGCGCAACCCUUGUUGUCAGUUACUAACAGGUUCUGCUGAGGACUCUGACAAGACUGCCAUCGUAAGAUGUGAGGAAGGUGGGGAUGACGUCAAAUCAGCACGGCCCUUACGUCCGGGGCUACACACGUGUUACAAUGGGGGGUACAGAGGGCCGCUACCACGCGAGUGGAUGCCAAUCCCAAAAACCUCUCUCAGUUCGGACUGGAGUCUGCAACCCGACUCCACGAAGCUGGAUUCGCUAGUAAUCGCGCAUCAGCCACGGCGCGGUGAAUACGUUCCCGGGCCUUGUACACACCGCCCGUCAAGCCAUGGGAGCCGGGGGUACCUGAAGUGCGUAACCGCGAGGAGCGCCCUAGGGUAAAACUGGUGACUG
RNAcentral lists this ribosomal RNA (1435 nucleotides) under uncultured organism. RNAcentral describes it as "SSU rRNA". It matches the Rfam family "Bacterial small subunit ribosomal RNA". The record is from RNAcentral.